This 805-nucleotide non-coding RNA is filed under the name Trichomonas vaginalis G3. RNAcentral describes it as "Eukaryotic large subunit ribosomal RNA". It matches the Rfam family "Eukaryotic large subunit ribosomal RNA", at positions 2440 to 3401 of the family's 3401-position model. The record is from Rfam by way of RNAcentral. Lineage: Eukaryota; Parabasalia; Trichomonadida; Trichomonadidae.
UGUAUAGUUCCUGCGGGGGUGUAGACUAGGUGGGAGAGCAAUCGAUUCUGAAAAACCACUACCCUGUUUGGAAUUAUGCUUACCUAUCACAAGGAAUAGGACUAGAUAGAAAGUUUGGCUGGGGCGGCACACCUUCGAAAGAGCAGCGAAGGUGUCCUAAGUUGAGCUCAGUGAGGACAGAAAUCUCACGUUGAGGAUAAGGCCAAAAGCUCAAUUUACUGUGCCUUUUUGUACUAGGAUCAGUUACGAAAGUAAGGCCUAACGAUCCCUAAAUAGCCUCAGGUGCGUGAGGAUUGGGGUGACAGACAAGUUACCUCCGGGACAACUGGCUUGUGGCUGCUAAGAGAUCAAAUCAACGCAGCUUUUUGAUUCUUCGAUGUCGGCUCUUCCUAUCCUAGUGAUGUACAAGUUGCUAAGGGUCGGAUUGUUCACCCGUAUUAGGGAUCGUGAGCUGGGUUUAGACCGUCGUGAGCCAGGUUUGUUUUAUCCUACUGGAUAUAGCAUCAUGAUAGUAGAUUGAUUUAGUACGAGAGGAACUGUUGAUUAUGGCCUCUGGUUAGCGAUUAUCGGAAACGGUAUGUCGCGCAGCUACGCCGUCUGGGAUAAUGGCUGAAAGCCUCUUAAGCCAGAAGCCCAUCUAGAAAGUGAUGCACGUGAUGUUGGACCGAUACGAAUAAUCAUACUCAAAAGGUCCGCUUCAUAGGUAACCCAAUGUAGAAGACAUUGUGUGAACGAAGGUACUGUAAGCAGUGGAGUGGCAUUACGUCCACGACCUGUUGAGGUUCAGCUUCGCUUCUAGGUUUCC